GUUCCGGGUUGUACGAUCCGAGACAGAUUUGGGGCAGAAAAUAGGAGAAAUUUUGACCCGCCCCGAAUCCGUCUCGAAAAUUAUUUAUAUUUUUAAAAAAUAUUUUUUAAAAAAUAAUGUAUUUAUAAAAAAAUUCAAAAUACAAAUAAGUUUGCAAUCUCAUUUCUAAUUUAUUUAAAAUUUUUGAAUUUUGUUUUGAAUUAUGAUUGAUAUUUUUUAUUUUUAUAAUUGAUAUUAUUAAAUUAUAUAUAUAAUAUUAUUAAAAAUUAUUAAUUUAUAAUUUAUAAAAUAUUAAUAAUAUUAUAAUUUUAUAAAAUAUAUUAGUUGGCGCGGCGAAUUCGGGACGCCGGCGGGAGGCGGGUUACGAGGCGGGGCGGAUUAUGGGAUGUACUUUUCAACCCGUUACGAAUUCGGGGCGGGAGGCGGAGCAAAAUUUUGCUAGUCGG
RNAcentral lists this long non-coding RNA (446 nucleotides) under Ananas comosus (pineapple). Its description in RNAcentral is "long non-coding RNA (ACOM_LNC036116)". Lineage: Eukaryota; Viridiplantae; Streptophyta; Magnoliopsida; Poales; Bromeliaceae. The record is from RNAcentral.